Long non-coding RNA from Bos taurus (domestic cattle), 2444 nucleotides. NCBI's taxonomy places the organism in Eukaryota, Metazoa, Chordata, Mammalia, Artiodactyla, Bovidae. The record is from Ensembl.
GCUACACUUGAUACUUCCAAGGCUGAUUUCCUCCAAGCUCCCCUUUCUUCACCUCCUUUGCCCUAGGCUUUCAUAAAGCCAGACAGAGAAAAAGGAAUUUCACUUCCCAAAUGCUAGAACUGCUGGUGCAGAACGUAACUAAAUAUCAGCAGCUGUGCCAGGGCACCUGGGGCCAUAUAAGGAGACUGACAAAAGACUUAGUUAUGAACAAGAUCCCAGUUCUCUGCUCAUCAUGGCUUCAUGUGCUUCAAGAAGGGCAGGAAGAAUCGGAGAUUUGCAGCUACGCUCUUUUUUAAAAAUGUGUAUGAGAGACAUUCUUAGGAAAAAGGAUAAAACAGAUAUUCCUAAAGCAACAAAGUGGGACAGACGUAAUGUCAAUGUUUCUCCUGACUACUGCUUCCAACUUUAAUGCGUAAAUAUUCUAUCACCUGGGGAUUGUGUAAGAUACAGAUUGUGAACCAGUAGGUCAGGGGUAGGGCCUCAGAAUCUGCAUUUCUGACAAGCUCCCACAGGAUAUUGGUGCAGCUAGUCUGAGGACCAUAUUUUAUUUUUUAAGUUUUUUUUUUUUUUUUUUUUGAUGUGGACCAUUUAUAAAGUCUUUAUUGAACUUGUUACUCAUGUGUGCUACAUGUGUGUUACAACUUUUGUUUUAUGUUUUGGUUUUCUGGCCAUGAGAUAUGUGAGAGCUUCCAGACCAGGAAUUGAAUGCAUACCCAUUUCAUUGGAAGGCAAAAUCUUAACCACUGGACCACCAGGGAAGUCUCUGAGGACCUCAUUUUAAAUAAUUAGGGGCUAGACCAAUUUACUGGCCUUUCAAAUACUUGCCCCUCAAUACUAUUUCAAAGAAGUUUCAUUUAAGAAUUCUUACUCAACUCAACAAGAGCUCUCCUGAAGACAAGCACUGCAUAUUCUAGCUCCCUGGUAGAUCUCUUAGCACCUAGCAUGGCGCCAUCAGCAGAACAAAAAAGAUGAAGUAACUAAGUUUCAGAAGCAAACCUUUCCAGAGGCAAUGCAGCACAGAUACAAGGAAGAAGACCUAGGUUCAAGGACAAUUUGUGAUAUCGGCAGAAAAGAUUGUUUCCUCAUGAUGCUCCUACCGUGAUCUGGAGACCACACUGGGGCUUAUGGUAAAGAUGGGAAGAGUCCCAGCCUUUUGGGAGAUGAAUUUUGUUACACUGUUCUUAUGGCAGCACUACUUGGGUUCCAAAGUCUCACUAAGCUUUUACUUUCUUCCUUUUCUCUCUCUGACCCAGGCGCAAGUCCUUACCUUGUACUCAGAAGUGUAUUCCGCCCUUUAUUUCUUAAAUGUUUUUACCAGAUCAUACUUAGCGGCCCGACUUCCUCUUUGCCCCACCUGCACUCAUUAGACAUUGCUGGACACGCAGAACUGAAUCUCUGCAGGGAGCACAGCUUGGGUCAGGCUGGGAUGCUGAUGCUCUUUCCCUCUGCAAGAGGAGUAGGGCCUGUGGGGGCACAUCGCCAUCCCCACCCUCUUCCACCACCAGCUAAAUAGUAACUGUGCACCGGUUAGGUCAUUCAACAAGUGAUGGAUGCUGGACCCAGACCUGUCCUUGUGAUGUUCUCUUUGAGGAGGAACAGGAUGUACAGAAAGGAGUAAUUAGCAUUUAAGUUUGUGUUUAGAUAAGGGCUAGUGAAGAUGGACAGAGUAUGAUGGCUACAGAAGAUCUUCGCAGACUAGGAGUUGGCUUGACAGGGGCUGGUCAAAAAGAUGUGACAGAUGAGAUGAACCUAAGAAAAUAGUUGAAGCAAGAGCCAUAGUGUACCAAGGGGCAGGGAGAGUGGUUACCCCGGGGUGCAGGUAAAAGGAAGGUGUGUUCUCUGGAGAAAAUCUAAAAACAAUAAAACCAACUAAAAGUCCACUCUUUAUUAUCACGGUGUACCAGCAAUUCUAGACAAUACAAGACUGUCUGGUAGUAGUCCUUUAUUGCCCAACAGUACGAGCUGUGUGCUUUUAUAUUACUCUCAAAGAAAUCCGUAGUCUUUCUUAAGUAUUGGAUUUCCCAAUUCCUUCUGUCAGAUAAGUUGUGUUUUAUUUUCAAUCUCUCACCUCUUCUUGAAAAGUCUAGUGUAAAAAGUCAGAUCAUCAUUCGAAGUUAGAAUGAAAAUGUGGCAUCAGUGAGAGGACUGUGUAUGUAAACAAUAUUCAGGGAAUGGGCAAUGGGUCUAGAAUCCUAGAAUUUCUUUCAGUUUUACUUUUGGCUCCCCUAUAUAAACCUGCUGUACUAUCCAAAAAUCAGUAAGCCCAUGGUGUUGUGGAUAGCAGGGAUGUAACCCCAUGUGAGUAGGUGUCCUUUCUUUAUAUUGUUCACUUGUGUCCCCAAAGCAUCAAGGUUGGUGCUUGGCCAGAGGAGAUACUCAAUAAAUAUUUGUUGUAUUGGAGGGAAAAAGAAAUCGUUCAAGUGAUCCAAAUAGAGGUUAAAGGC